This is a long non-coding RNA of Zeugodacus cucurbitae (melon fly), 374 nucleotides long. RefSeq lists it as uncharacterized. The record is from RefSeq and is a predicted model, not a curated record. NCBI's taxonomy places the organism in Eukaryota, Metazoa, Arthropoda, Insecta, Diptera, Tephritidae. The transcript has 2 exons.
AUGAAUGUAAUUAUACGAUGUGUGAACGUAAAUAAACAAACGGGGAUAUGUAUGUAUUACGAACGUUAAAUUAAUGUUUAGAGGUUUUGACAUACAUAGAUGUAUAUAAGUUAAACAUCUAAAACAUUUAAAGAAAAUUAUGCCGAAGAAACGGAUGUGUCUGCGAUACCAGCGGCAACCUCAUGCACAUUCGAAGACUUGGAUACAUCCAGCUCAUCAUUCACUUCAUCGCCCUUCUCCAUGCCACACUUUUCAUCGACCUUCAUUGGUGACGUAUCCAUUUUGGGUGUGGUGUCCUCAUCGGUGUUCUUGCCAACAGUGAUGUCUUCGGUCGCAGUCUUUUCGUCACUUUCAGCGGCAUCGGUGGCGUUACC